This 253-nucleotide ribosomal RNA is filed under the name uncultured bacterium. RNAcentral describes it as "partial 16S ribosomal RNA". It matches the Rfam family "Bacterial small subunit ribosomal RNA", at positions 524 to 776 of the family's 1533-position model. The record is from RNAcentral.
UACAGAGGUGGCAAGCGUUGUUCGGAAUUACUGGGCGUAAAGGGCGCGUAGGCGGCCCGUCAAGUCCCGUGUGAAAGCCCCCGGCUCAACCGGGGAACGGCGCGGGAAACUAGCAGGCUUGAGUUCGGGAGAGGGAAGCGGAAUUCCGGGUGUAGCGGUGAAAUGCGCAGAUAUCCGGAGUAACACCGGUGGCGAAGGCGGCUUCCUGGACCGACACUGACGCUGAGGCGCGAAAGCUAGGGGAGCAAACGGG